GACGAACGCUGGCGGCGUGCUUAACACAUGCAAGUCGUACGGAAAGGCCCUGCUUUUGUGGGGUGCUCGAGUGGCGAACGGGUGAGUAACACGUGAGUAACCUGCCCUUGACUUUGGGAUAACUUCAGGAAACUGGGGCUAAUACCGGAUAGGAGCUCCUGCUGCAUGGUGGGGGUUGGAGAGUUUCGGCGGUUGGGGAUGGACUCGAGGCUUAUCAGCUUGUUGGUGGGGUAGUGGCGUACAAAGGCUUUGACGGGUAGCCGGCCUGAGAGGGUGACCGGCCACAUGGGGACUGAGAUACGGCCCAGACUCCUACGGGAGGCAGCAGUGGGGAAUAUUGCACAAUGGGCGGAAGCCUGAUGCAGCAACGCCGCGUGCGGGAUGACGGCCUUCGGGUUGUAAACCGCUUUCGCCUGUGACGAAGCGUGAGUGACGGUAAUGGGUAAAGAAGCACCGGCUAACUACGUG
Molecule: ribosomal RNA, 468 nt
Filed under: uncultured bacterium
Lineage: Bacteria
Description: partial 16S ribosomal RNA
Rfam family: Bacterial small subunit ribosomal RNA
Source: RNAcentral